Molecule: ribosomal RNA, 484 nt
Filed under: uncultured bacterium
Lineage: Bacteria
Description: partial 16S ribosomal RNA
Rfam family: Bacterial small subunit ribosomal RNA
Source: RNAcentral
AUUGAACGCUGGCGGCAGGCCUAACACAUGCAAGUCGAGCGGAUGAAUGGAGCUUGCUCCUGGAUUCAGCGGCGGACGGGUGAGUAAUGCCUAGGAAUCUGCCUGGUAGUGGGGGAUAACGUCCGGAAACGGGCGCUAAUACCGCAUACGUCCUGAUGGAGCAAGUGGGGGAUCUUCGGACCUCACGCUAUCAGAUGAGCCUAGGUCGGAUUAGCUAGUUGGUGGGGUAAAGGCCUACCAAGGCGACGAUCCGUAACUGGUCUGAGAGGAUGAUCAAUCAGCUUGGAAGUGAGACACGGUACCGACUCCUACGGGAGGCAGCAGUGGGGAAUAUUGGACGAUGGGGGAAAGCCUGAUACAGCAAUGCGGGGUGUGUGAAGAAGGUCUUCGGAUUGUAAAGCACUUUAAGUUGGGAGGAAGGAAAGUAAGUUAAUACCUGGCUGUUUUGACGGUACCAACAGAAUAAGCACCGGCUAACUUCGUG